CAAUAGCGUAUAUUAAAGUUGUUGCGGUUAAAAGCUCGUAGUUGGAUUUCUGUGCACGCGAUUUCGUCCGCCUUUUUAAGGUGCGCACGAAUUCCUGUGCAUUUUCGUAGGAACGCCGUCCUCUUUUAACUAAGCGGAUAUGCCGACCUGCAGUUUACCUUGAGGAAAUUAGAGUGCUCAAAGCAGGCAACCGCCUUGAAUAGUUUAGCAUGGAAUAAUCGAAUACGACUUCGGUCCUAUUUUGUUGGUUUCUAGAACCGAAGUAAUGAUUAAUAGGGACAGUUGGGGGUGAAGGUAUUUCGAUGUCAGAGGUGAAAUUCUUGGAUUUUCGGAAGACCAUCUAAUGCGAAAGCAUUUACCAAGGAUGUUUUCAUUAAUCAAGAACGAAAGUUGGAGGAUCGAAGACGAUCAGAUACCAU
RNAcentral lists this ribosomal RNA (419 nucleotides) under uncultured eukaryote. RNAcentral describes it as "bacterial SSU rRNA". It matches the Rfam family "Eukaryotic small subunit ribosomal RNA", at positions 592 to 1018 of the family's 1831-position model. The record is from RNAcentral.